RNAcentral lists this ribosomal RNA (466 nucleotides) under uncultured bacterium. RNAcentral describes it as "bacterial SSU rRNA". It matches the Rfam family "Bacterial small subunit ribosomal RNA", at positions 28 to 507 of the family's 1533-position model. The record is from RNAcentral.
GAUGAACGCUGGCGGCGUGCCUAAUACAUGCAAGUCGAGCGAACCACUUCGGUGGUGAGCGGCGAACGGGUGAGUAACACGUAGGUGAUCUGCCCAUCAGACGGGACAACGAUUGGAAACGAUCGCUAAUACCGGAUAGGACGAAAGUUUAAAGGUGCUUCUGGCACCGCUGAUGGAUGAGCCUGCGGCGCAUUAGCUAGUUGGUAGGGUAAAGGCCUACCAAGGCGACGAUGCGUAGCCGACCUGAGAGGGUGAACGGCCACACUGGGACUGAGACACGGCCCAGACUCCUACGGGAGGCAGCAGUAGGGAAUCUUCGGCAAUGGGCGAAAGCCUGACCGAGCAACGCCGCGUGAAUGAUGAAGGCCUUCGGGUUGUAAAAUUCUGUUAUAAGGGAAGAACGACUUUAGUAGGAAAUGGCUAGAGUGUGACGGUACCUUAUGAGAAAGCCACGGCUAACUACGUG